RNAcentral lists this ribosomal RNA (208 nucleotides) under uncultured bacterium. Its description in RNAcentral is "partial 16S ribosomal RNA". It matches the Rfam family "Bacterial small subunit ribosomal RNA", at positions 568 to 775 of the family's 1533-position model. The record is from RNAcentral.
CGCGUAGGCGGCAGUGUAUGUCAGAUGUGAAAUACUCCGGCUCAACCAGAGAACAGCAUCUGAAACUGCACGGCUAGAGUACAGAAGAGGGAAACGGAAUUCCCGGUGUAGAGGUGAAAUUCGUAGAUAUCGGGAGGAACACCAGUGGCGAAGGCGGUUUCCUGGUCUGAUACUGACGCUGAGGCGCGAAAGCGUGGGGAGCAAACAG